RNAcentral lists this long non-coding RNA (880 nucleotides) under Marmota monax (woodchuck). The record is from RNAcentral. Lineage: Eukaryota; Metazoa; Chordata; Mammalia; Rodentia; Sciuridae.
GACAGCCAGUAAGUUCCUCAAUCAUGGAUAGUAAUGGCAACAUCACUAACAUCACUCUUCUGUUUAGCUUUUGCUGGUUGGGCAUUCAGCAGCAGUAGUAUCCACAUUAGCUUGUUUGAAGGAAAUUCAUGUUAGUCCUAGGAAUAACAUCCAUUUCUACCAUUCUUUUGAACUGGAAGCUGAAACAGAGGUGUGCUCAGUAGGCCCACACCCACAGGAGGGUAUGACAGAGGACUGCUUAAGCCCAGGAGUUCCAGGAUACCCUGAACAACAUAUCAAGAUGGAGGAGGGGCAAGUGGGGAGAUAGAAUAUUUAUUCACAGGCUGAGUGUGGCUCAGUAAUAGAGUGCUUACCUAGCACAAUAAAGGUCCUGGGCUACCCUCACAAUGCAUCCAUUAAAUAAUAAAUAUGAAAAUUAAAGACACUUAAGAGAACUAAGAAAAGAAACAAAUUCAGAGAGGGAUACUUUAUUCAGAAAUAUCUCUGCACUAUGUACAGCCAGAAGUUUGAGAAGUUGUGCUCCAUGGUAAAUACAGAAAUGGUAAAUACACAUCAACACAAAUUACCCAUUCUAGAUAUGAAAAAUAAAUUGAAAAAAAAUUUAAAUGAAGCCUUUGCACUUUAGGGACAAUUACAAGCUCUAACAUCCAUAUCAGAGUCCCAGAAGGUCUGAGAAAAAAAGUAGUUGAAAAUAUAUUUGAAGAAAGAAUGUUGCUUACCUCAAAUAUAAAUUUCCUAAUGUGAAACUGGGACAUUUGGUUGGAACCCAGAUGAAACGGACACUAUUGAAAACCCUAGACGCUGAGGCUUCCCUUGGCUUGCAGAGGGGUAUUUUCUUUCUGCAUGCCCAUACAGUCUUUCCUCUGAAUGUGAGUAUCCC